ACUAAGUGUUCGUAUAUCUUAAAUUUACAGACUGUAUUCGGAAUUUUAAAGAAAAACUCAGAUAGGGAUCUUGACCAGUAAAAUCUCCACCGAUACUACCAGAUUGGAGUCUCUACCCUGAUAUGAGAUUCAUAAGAUUAUCAAUAGCAGGAACGGAAACUUUAUCGUGCUUUCAGAAAUCAAUUCCAGUCCUCCCUUGCAAGAAAAUAUUAAUGGUCGGUACCCCACAAAAUGUUGAAAUGUCGGUUAGGCCACACCAAGUAAUUUUUAUGGAUAACGCCCUCUCGAGACCCAAAAUCUAAUGCGAGAGCGCGAAAAAAAACUCAAGAUGCCUAGAUUUGAUGUAUUCUAAGGGACGGCAAAUGUGAAAACACAGUGUAACAACCAAUAAGUAUUUUAUUCGUCAUGAAAACAGCAAUAAAUCAGUGGUACAGCAGUUGCCGUCUUGUCCUGUUUCUUUCCUUUAUCAAAUCUUCCCUUAUCCAACUGUCGUGACUUUUUAAUCAUAGUUACAAAAAGCAGCUCUUCUUGUUUUUUUUUCUAGGAACAGGCCAAAAUCAAUGCGCGCGCGGACGUCAUCCAUAAAAUUUACUUGGUGUGGCCUUAUCGAGAAACCUUCCUCUUCCCUAUCCUGUCUAGGCCUGUCCACAGAAACCACAGUGUAAUCCGUUUUGAAAUUGUAGCGUAAACAAUUCCGUUUUUGACCCACGGGAAUUACUGUACCUGCCAUUUGAUAUGUGAGUCAAAAACAACUUGUUAGCACAGGUGUUAAGGCCAAGGCCAUGUAGACUCACUCGUGUCAAUCUACGUGGGAGACCAGAUCCCUAAUGAGGGAGUUCUGAAUUUACUCAAGCUUUGUACACAAAAGUGGCCGUACGUGUAUUUCCUCUAAAAUCGUAUGCGUUCACAAGCAAUGUUUCAUCACGUAAUAAUGAGUGAUAAAACUGUACGUUGCGUUACAUCUAUGUUAUUAGUUUUGCAGG
Molecule: long non-coding RNA, 983 nt
Organism: Branchiostoma belcheri (Belcher's lancelet)
Lineage: Eukaryota; Metazoa; Chordata; Leptocardii; Amphioxiformes; Branchiostomatidae
Exons: 3
Source: RefSeq, a predicted model, not a curated record